This 468-nucleotide ribosomal RNA is filed under the name uncultured bacterium. RNAcentral describes it as "partial 16S ribosomal RNA". It matches the Rfam family "Bacterial small subunit ribosomal RNA", at positions 28 to 507 of the family's 1533-position model. The record is from RNAcentral.
GACGAACGCUGGCGGCGUGCUUAACACAUGCAAGUCGAACGGAAAGGCCCUGCUUUUGUGGUGUGCUCGAGUGGCGAACGGGUGAGUAACACGUGAGUAACCUGCCCUUUACUUUCGGAUAACUUCAGGAAACUCUGGCUAAUACCGUAUAUGAGAUCCUGCUCCAUGGUGUGGGUUGGAAAGAUUCGGCGGUUGGGGAUGGACUCGCGGCUUAUCAGCUUGUUGGUGGGGUAGUGGCUUACCAAGGCUUUGACGGGUAGCCGGCCUGAGAGGGUGACCGGCCACAUUGGGACUGAGAUACGGCCCAGACUCCUACGGGAGGCAGCAGUGGGGAAUAUUGCACAAUGGGCGGAAGCCUGAUGCAGCAACGCCGCGUGCGGGAUGACGGCCUUCGGGUUGUAAACCGCUUUCGCCUGUGACGAAGCGUGAGUGACGGUAAUGGGUAAAGAAGCACCGGCUAACUACGUG